GUUAUACUCCCUCCGUUCUGAAUUACUUGUCGCAGGUAUAAAUGUAUCCAGAUGUAUUUUAGUUUUAGAUACAUCCAUUUCUGCGACGAGUAAUUUGGAACGGAGGGAGUAUCUC
Molecule: non-coding RNA, 115 nt
Organism: Triticum urartu
Lineage: Eukaryota; Viridiplantae; Streptophyta; Magnoliopsida; Poales; Poaceae
Source: Rfam